ACGAAGGGGGCAAGCGUUGUUCGGAAUUACUGGGCGUAAAGGGCGCGUAGGCGGCUUACCAAGUCAGGCGUGAAAUUCCCGGGCUCAACCUGGGGGCUGCGCUUGAUACUGGUGAGCUUGAAUGCGGGAGAGGAUAGUGGAAUUCCCAGUGUAGAGGUGAAAUUCGUAGAUAUUGGGAAGAACACCGGUGGCGAAGGCGGCCUACUGGCACGAAACUGACGCUGAGGCUCGAAAGCGUGGGGAGCGAACGGGA
RNAcentral lists this ribosomal RNA (253 nucleotides) under uncultured prokaryote. Its description in RNAcentral is "partial 16S ribosomal RNA". It matches the Rfam family "Bacterial small subunit ribosomal RNA", at positions 525 to 777 of the family's 1533-position model. The record is from RNAcentral.